GUGGGGAAUUUUGGACAAUGGGCGCAAGCCUGAUCCAGCAAUGCCGCGUGCAGGAAGAAGGCCUUCGGGUUGUAAACUGCUUUUGUACGGAACGAAACGGUCCGGGUUAAUACCCUGGGCUAAUGACGGUACCGUAAGAAUAAGCACCGGCUAACUACGUGCCAGCAGCCGCGGUAAUACGUAGGGUGCAAGCGUUAAUCGGAAUUACUGGGCGUAAAGCGUGCGCAGGCGGUUUUGUAAGACAGGCGUGAAAUCCCCGGGCUCAACCUGGGAAUUGCGCUUGGGACUGCAAGGCUGGAGUGCGGCAGAGGGGGAUGGAAUUCCGCGUGUAGCAGUGAAAUGCGUAGAUAUGCGGAGGAACACCGAUGGCGAAGGCAAUCCCCUGGGCCUGCACUGACGCUCAUGCACGAAAGCGUGGGGAGCAAACAGGAUUAGAUACCCCUGUAGUCC
This 450-nucleotide ribosomal RNA is filed under the name uncultured bacterium. RNAcentral's name for it is "partial 16S ribosomal RNA". It matches the Rfam family "Bacterial small subunit ribosomal RNA", at positions 354 to 796 of the family's 1533-position model. The record is from RNAcentral.